RNAcentral lists this transfer RNA (73 nucleotides) under Nanobdellota archaeon. RNAcentral's name for it is "tRNA-Cys". It matches the Rfam family "tRNA". Rfam says of the family: Transfer RNA (tRNA) molecules are approximately 80 nucleotides in length. Their secondary structure includes four short double-helical elements and three loops (D, anti-codon, and T loops). The record is from RNAcentral. Lineage: Archaea; Nanobdellati; Nanobdellota.
GCGGGGGUAGCCAAGCGGCUAAGGCAACCGCCUGCAGAGCGGUCAUUCGAGGGUUCAAGUCCCUCCCCUCGCU